GUCUGCAGCGAUGGCCCCCUGAACGUGCCCGAUCCCGUCGGAUCUCGGAAGCUAACGGGGUCGGGCCUGGUGAGGACUUGGAUGGGAGACCACCGAGGAAGACCGGGUGCUGUAGGCA
RNAcentral lists this ribosomal RNA (118 nucleotides) under Pteropus alecto (black flying fox). Lineage: Eukaryota; Metazoa; Chordata; Mammalia; Chiroptera; Pteropodidae. The record is from RNAcentral.